GCUUCUACAGUAAAAAAGGUUUAUCAACUGGAUCUUUCAUAGAGUCCCAAGCCAGAGAAAACCGUGGCUCUGAAUCAUUGCCUGGCCUCUGCCUAUGGGCUGCUGGCACUGAAGUGGGUUACAUAGUG
RNAcentral lists this small nucleolar RNA (128 nucleotides) under Castor canadensis (American beaver). RNAcentral describes it as "Small nucleolar RNA SNORA42/SNORA80 family (ENSCCNG00000019065.1)". It matches the Rfam family "Small nucleolar RNA SNORA42/SNORA80 family". From Rfam's summary of the family: The members of this family belong to the H/ACA class of snoRNAs that guide the sites of modification of uridines to pseudouridines. Human ACA42 (SNORA42) was cloned from HeLa cells by immunoprecipitation with anti-GAR1 antibody. Lineage: Eukaryota; Metazoa; Chordata; Mammalia; Rodentia; Castoridae. The record is from Rfam by way of RNAcentral.